GCAGGCUUCAGAAGGGAUGGGCCUGGCUAUGCACAGUCCGGGGGAGGAGCGUGAGGUGCGAGGUGGUUAGCUCUGGCUUUGAACUGGUUCCUGUGUUUUUCUAGGGCAUGUGGACCAGGGGUGGGUACUUGAGCAGAAGCCAGAAAUUUGAAAGAAGAGUUUGUGCAGGAGUUACCUUCAAUGUCCGAAAUUAGUGUCCUGUAUGCUUAACAAGAAAUUGUACUUCCUGAUUUACCUACUUGCCCAAUUGCCGCAGUUUCCAACUCUGCAGGGAAAUGUGUGAGUUCCUGCUAAGAAUUUUCUCUUUGGCUGAUUUCUACCAAUUUGACUAUGAUACAUGACUGGAAGAGGAUCUUAUGUUUUACCUACUUAGUGUCCUUUGUAUCACCUGGAUUUGGAUGUCUGCAUGCUUCUCUAAAUUUGGAAAGUUUUCUGCUUUGGAAUAAACCCAGAACCCAUGUGCUUCUGGAACUACAAACUUAAAUGUCUUCAAGGACCCCAGAAUAUCUGAAAUGUCAGAGGUAGCCAAGUAUGUUUCACCUAAAGGCCUUCAGAUUCAAGUUAAAAAAAAAAUUUUUUUAAAGCCCUCCAUACCAAUGGUCUUCAGUUCUGUGUGCAUGCUUCUGCUCAACACUUCAAGCAGUCCUGCAAACACUCACUUCAGCCAAAGGUGCUCAAGACAGCAUCUGAAAGAGGGGCAGCAUGGCUUUCAUCCCUUUUCCUCAUCACUCGUAAGAACAUAGGGCCCAUACCAUCAGCUACCAGGGGCCAGAAGAAGCUUCCUUCAGACAGAGACUAUCUCCGAGGGAGAAAGAGAGGAAGAACAUCAACCUCAGAGGUUACAGAACAUUUCAUUUUUGUUGGGAAAUAAACAAUGAUCUAUAUCUUGGAAUUGCAUAGAAGAUAAUGAACACAAUAAGAAUAGCCCAGAAAAGCAGGACAGAAAAUAGAUGUGGAUGAAAGAUACUGUGUGGCCCUGAUUUGGAGUCUUAGAUUCUAAAACUUCUGAAACCUCCAAGCCUUACAUUUCUCAUUGGUAAAACAAGAUCAUCACCAUCACCUCCUGGAGAUGUUGUAUGUGUCCAGUGAAGCCAUGCAUAGGAGAACACUGCUACGAUUUUGUAAUUUCCACUAUCCACUUACAUGCAUAUAUGCUCUCUGGCUCUGCCUAUGCUCCCUUUCCUUUAGACUUUAUCACCAAAUUGAACCUUUUCCUGAAAGUUUAAUCUCCUCCUCAAAAUAUUGCCUAUUUCGCAGAUAUUUGCAGAUGUCUUUGACCUCCCUCAUAAGUGGCGAGAUAAACUCCUUUUGAUAGUAGGAUAGUGUGUCCCUGAUUCCCCUUCAAUGCCAAGAGGACUAAUACAUUUUGAGGUUUUUUUUUUAACAUCUUUCUUUUCCAGUUGUAAUUGAAUGGAGUAAAAACAAUCCUGGGUCCAAUGCA
Long non-coding RNA from Tupaia belangeri chinensis (Chinese tree shrew), 1441 nucleotides. RefSeq lists it as uncharacterized. The transcript has 4 exons. Lineage: Eukaryota; Metazoa; Chordata; Mammalia; Scandentia; Tupaiidae. The record is from RefSeq and is a predicted model, not a curated record.